UGAAGACAGUAUUUUUGCUCCAAUUUCGACUAAGAGUUGUGUUGGGGCAAAAUUCUGAGUAGUUAUGUUUUAGUGGGUUAAUAUGGAGUGAUUUUAGGAGAUAAUUGGGGAGAGGUUAUCAGAAAAUAAUCUGAUUACCUUUUUGCCGCAAAAUAAUAAUAAUAAUAGAGUAUCAGUUUUCUCUCCAAUUCCCCAAACUUUUUUCGACAUUUUCUUCUUUUUUUUCUCCUGUGUCGAUUCUUUCCCCUAGUUGCUGCUGAAAUUUCCAUUAUUUUUUUCCCUUUCCAUUUCUUUCUUUUUUUUUUCCAAUUGAUUUGGUUGUUCAUUUUUGGUUCGCGUGCUCGGUAAGUAACGGUUUUUUCUAUUGUUAAUCAUUCUUAGUUAAUCUCUAAAAGGGGUAUUCCUUUUUGGUGUUUAGGAGUUAAUCAAGGGGUUGGUCGUUUUGAAUCGAUGCUGUGAUUGUGCGAAGUCAUGGUUACUCAAGCGAGGUAAGGGUUUUGUUAGGUUUUUAGUCGAGUUCCUUCCAAAAUUGGUUGAUUAAAAAUGAAUUACAUGAUUAAUCUGGAAAUAUGUUGGUCGAUUUUUAGGUUCUAGAGGCUUAAGAGUGCUUAC
This 612-nucleotide long non-coding RNA is filed under the name Gossypium barbadense (sea-island cotton). RNAcentral's name for it is "long non-coding RNA (GBAR_LNC005175)". The record is from RNAcentral. Lineage: Eukaryota; Viridiplantae; Streptophyta; Magnoliopsida; Malvales; Malvaceae.